ACAUGUGCCAUGGUGGUUUGCUGCACCUAUCAACCCGUCAUCUAGGUUUUAAACCCCGCAUGCAUUAGGUACUUGUCCUAAUGCUCCCCCUCCGCUUGCCCCCCACCCACCGAUAGGACCCGGUGUGUGAUGUUCCUCUCCCUGUGUCCAGGUGUGUUCCCAUUGUUCAACUCCCACCCCUGGACACUCGCUUUUUCACCCUCCUGCCAGCUUUUCUGCUUAGACCUGGACACAGAGUGCAGCGGGAAACUUUCAGCUCUCACACAUACCUAUCAAGCAUUUAUUGAGCUCCUGUGAACACAGACACUCCUGCUCUCUCCAGGAAGCGCUCCCGGCUCAGGGCGCCUUGGGUCCGUGGCGCCACCUGCUGUUCUCGCGGCGCCAGCGCAGUCUGCGAGGCCGUCCCAGCUCUUUCCACCCGAGCGCGAGGUAGACGCCGGGGCCACCCGCAGCACGCAGAGCUUCUGGGAGCCGGUGGCAAGGCCGAAUUGGGAUGCAAACCAAAUGGACGUGGGUGACUGGCAGAAAACGCCUCCCACAAAUGGGAGGGAUUUCGGAGGGAACCGAAAGAAAGUUGGAAACCAAGUUACAGCUGAAGCCAGGGCCUUCUCCUACCCGACUCCCGCGGCCCAUUAAAACCUACGUGAGCUUAUCUGAUACCUUCAAGCCCUGUUUUGUGGCCCCAUCUCCUCUUCAGAUGGCAAUGUGCCUAGCUACACUACAUUUCCUGCCUCCCUUGCAGCUAGAGGUGGCCAAUGAGAUAUAAACAGAUGCUGUAAGACAUGAUGUCUAGAUCCCUAGCAGUCAUCCCAGACCAUGAGAUAACUUUGAGAAGGAACACCAUGUACAAAGGACUGUGCAGAAGAGGGUUGGCAGGAGCCUGGAUCUCUGAUGACUUCACCCUUGACUGCCCACCUCACCAGGCUGUACAAGCCACUGUUACUGGCAGAUGAAUGCAAGUUCUAAAACAUACAACUACUGACCUACUGAAUUUUCCAAGGAGCACAUUUCCACUGGAGACAUUUGGUGCCUGCAGAAAAUACUUACUGAGGAAUUUCUAUGGGACCAGCCUGAAGUAGAAGCCACUGAAGAGAGGCCCUGAAGCAGCUUUUCUUCCUUAUCCCAGAGACCAACAUGGUUACCCCAGCCCAGAGUCACCCUCCUUCCUCUAAGCUGUCAAAACCCUGGCUGCCUUUACAAUGAUUCUGACAAUGAAUCCCACCCUGCUGGUGAUGUCUAUUGCUUUACUGUUAAACUUUUUAAGGGUUAAAAUUCCUUUUUAUUUUUCUUUUUAAAUUGAUUAAUAAUAGUUGUACCAAUUUGGAUGGUACCUGUAAUAUUUUGAUACCUACAUACAAUGUGUGAUGAACAAAUCAGAGUAAUUGGGCUAGCCAUCACCUCACACAUUUAUCUAGGGCUGAAAUCCCUGAAGGACAGGAUUGUGUCUUACAAAUUGUGUAUUCUAAUCUGCAUUUACAUUUCAGAAAUUCUGGACUAAGUAGGCAAACCAACAGAAACUCUUGCUAUGAAGAUCUGGAGGUUUCCUGGAGGAAGUGGUGAAUAGGGCCUUGGGACUGAUGUUAAAAGCCCUGGAACACAAUAGGGAGACUCCUGAACUAGGAAGAAGUCAAAAGCUCUGGUAGCAGCCCCCACAAAUUAAGAAACCUACUCAGAGUAAAAGAAACAGGCCAUGGUGGGUGGCCGGGGAGCAAGGAAUAUUUGUGAGUAACCCCAGAUGGUGGCAAUCAUUUAAUGCCCUCCAUCCCUCUCAGUGUAUAUUAGGUUAUGUUUUUUUUUUAGAAAAUGGAGGAAGGGUUUUACUAUGUUGCCUAGGCCAGUCUCAAACUCCUAGGCUCAAGCGAUUCACCUGCAUUGGCCUCCUAAAUUGCUGGGAUUACAGGCAUGAGCCACUGUGCCUGGCCCAAGAAGUCUGAGCCAGACGUUGCUGCAUAGGUCAGAACUCUGUGGGCUAUGAAUGUAAGAUAUUCACGAGUCACAUCUAUUCCAUUCAUUGGCAAACACUUACCUGAAACCAUACAGCAAAAGAGAUUCUGGAAAAUGUACCUUCCAGCCUUAGAAGAAAGUGAUGGUGGUGCCCAGUUGACCCCAGGCAAGCCGGCCCAGGAAUGCAGACAUUUUGGACUGCUCAUCUUUUACUACUUUGUGUAGCCUUUCACAGAAGAAUUACACAAGAACUUGACUCUUGAUUCCAAGGAUUCUGGAAGAAUGCCAACCAAACUGAAGUCUACAAGCCUAACCAUGUUAUGAAAAGGCUGGAUGUGACAUGGUGAAUCCUCCUUAGAUGUGUUAACUAGGGUUAGGGUACCAGUGACAUGCAAGGGGUUGGCCAUUUGAUUAAGUAGAGGAGGCAUGAGUGAAAGCAGCACACCUCCACCCUGCUCAAUGGCCAUCAUCACCUAGCCAGGCUGUGAGCCUCCAUGGAGUGGGUAGCUGAGAACCCACAACCCACAAUAUAUCUUCUUUCUGGCCCUGUUAACAUGGACCUGUCUCUAUGAGGUGAUGGUUGAUAUCCAGCUAAGUAUGGCCCUCUUAAUAGUAAUGUGGGUGGCUUUAUUCAUAUUGGCUUCAUGAUAAAUGGUAUCACUGAGCUGACUUCUCUAUGUUUUAGAUAAAACAAAAAUAAAAGACAAAAAAAAAAAAAAGAAAAAAAGCAAAAUGACACAGGCAGUCUUGCUGCCAGACACAUCUGCAAUCAGAAAGCUUGGAAAAUUAGACUUGGAAAUGGCUUGAAAAAACCUUUAAACUUUUUCUGAAGAGCAAGUACAGGUUUGUCUCUGGGGUCAGUUCUAAUUCUUUGACCAGCUAAUUUUAAGUGGCUGUAUCUCGAAAAAAGUGACAGUGACAUUUUGGUACUCCAGCUGAACUUUUAGAUUAGUCACUGAUACAACUGCAACUUUUGGCCUAUUUGAAGGAUUUUAAGGGCAGGAUAAAUAACAAAACCCAACAGUCUUAGCCUGAGUUUCCCAGAAAUCAGAGCCUGAGACAAAGGCUUGCCUUUUAAGAUUAUCUGAGAAUGUGAUCUUAGGUAGCAAGAGUACAGGGUAGGGGAGUGAUCAGGGAAGGAGGGAAAGCUAAUGCAACAUGGAUUAUUACGUUGUCUACUACUAUGGACAAUUGUUCAUGUGGACUAUGCUGUGGACUACCAUAUGGACUACCACUAUCACUAUGGAUACAAGUCCUGCUUGGAAUUUUUGGGGAGAUUUAUGGAAAGUACUAGAGAACUGUUUGUCCAAAGGACCAAAGAUGGAAACAUUUAUCCAUUGGCUCCAGGUCCCCAUUGGUCAAGGAUGACUUGGUUGCAUUUCUAAGUAAUGUAUGCUGAGCACAGAGCAGAUUCAAGUGGUUGCCCUGAGCUGCAGAUACCUCUGGGCAGGAAAUGAGAGAUACUCAGUGCAGACCUAGAGUGAGACCCGUGAUCUGAUUGCACCAGCAUAGAGAUGGUCAAAACCUAGGUGGAAGCAGUUUCUUCAGUUGUAACUGGAGAUAGAGGUGGGAUUGAGAGGAUUUUAAAAAGGGGCCCAGGAGUUAUCUAAAGCACCAAACAGUAAGUAUACAUUAACUAUGUUCUGGGUGUUGGGCACAAGCAUGGGAGGUAGAGCAGUGACAUGAUAAAGCCUUUACUCUUCCCCAAAUAUCUAUACUUUCUCUAAUAUAAAAAAUCUUAAGUAUAUGAAAAAUAUCACAUUUAUUAUAAAAUGUAAACUGCAAUGACAUCUGAGAGAGUUAUAUGUUGAAAUUUAAAUUCACAUUGAGAUAUAAAUGUUAGAUACAGGUAUUUUACCCCAAGUAAGGCUUUACUAGGGGAAGGAGGAAGUGCACAAGAAUUCUGGGAGUCUGAUGUAGUUGUGAAUCAAAAUUUCCAAUCCUUAUAUAUAUUUUUAUUAUCAGCCUUGCUUUGCCUAGUGCCUAUAAUCGUGUGAGAACUUGCCCUGUAGCCCCCCAUGAGUGGCCCUUUUCCCUAGUCAUCCUUCUUUGGCUUUAGCCAUGAGGAGCCUGAUGUGAGGAGAGAACUCAGCAAAUAUUUAAGUAAAUAUUUAUGGAAUGACAUGAAUGAAUACAAAGUUAUAAAUAGAACAUUAUCUUAUUCUACUCCUGGACUAGAUGUACGACCAAACAAACUAGAAUAGAUUUUGCAUAGAUUAAAUUUCACCUUUCUGACCUCCCCAAGCAAGUGCUUCUCUGUUUUUUUCCAGACCACCAUGUAUAUUCAGUAGCUGUAGCCCUUAUUUUCUGUUUUAGUUAUUCAAAGCUUGCUGGAAUAUGAGCUCCUGAAGGGCAGGGGCCAUUUCUUAUUAAUCUUUCUGUUGUCAGUACUGAGCAAAGUCUACGGUGCCUAGAAAUGUUUAAUUAAUGAGAAUCUGAAUCAAGACUAUAACCAUACAACCUCAAUAAUGCAAUUAAAAUGAAGAAUCUGUGGAAUAAAAUGACUGAAAAGCAUACCUUGGGAAUACAUAUCCCAGCUGAGAGACUAUAGGCAAGUCACUGAAUUUCUGUGUCUCAGUUUCUCCAAGUGAAAAAUGAGAGACCAAUCAGGGUUAGAGGAUAUGUGAUGUGCAUACUGUCACUCUGUUUUCUGUGUCUUGGUUGACAUUUCUAAUAAAUCAUGACUUUUCUUCACACUGAU
This 4645-nucleotide long non-coding RNA is filed under the name Homo sapiens (human). Its description in RNAcentral is "HSALNT0385677". The record is from RNAcentral. Lineage: Eukaryota; Metazoa; Chordata; Mammalia; Primates; Hominidae.